Non-coding RNA from Kluyvera ascorbata ATCC 33433, 146 nucleotides. Lineage: Bacteria; Pseudomonadati; Pseudomonadota; Gammaproteobacteria; Enterobacterales; Enterobacteriaceae. The record is from Rfam.
CGUUGCUUUUGCAACCACCAAUGAUUCAGUAGCCUGUGAGAAUCGCCUUCGGGUGGCUACAACAAAAGCUCCUGUAACCUGAAAAGGGGCAAAAAAUUGGUAAAUCUGCACACCUUUGAGAGCAGAUAUCGUCAAUUUAAGCGCAC